This 355-nucleotide ribosomal RNA is filed under the name Escherichia coli. RNAcentral's name for it is "partial 23S ribosomal RNA". It matches the Rfam family "Bacterial large subunit ribosomal RNA", at positions 1 to 392 of the family's 2925-position model. The record is from RNAcentral. Lineage: Bacteria; Pseudomonadati; Pseudomonadota; Gammaproteobacteria; Enterobacterales; Enterobacteriaceae.
GGUUAAGCGACUAAGCGUACACGGUGGAUGCCCUGGCAGUCAGAGGCGAUGAAGGACGUGCUAAUCUGCGAUAAGCGUCGGUAAGGUGAUAUGAACCGUUAUAACCGGCGAUUUCCGAAUGGGGAAACCCAGUGUGUUUCGACACACUAUCAUUAACUGAAUCCAUAGGUUAAUGAGGCGAACCGGGGGAACUGAAACAUCUAAGUACCCCGAGGAAAAGAAAUCAACCGAGAUUCCCCCAGUAGCGGCGAGCGAACGGGGAGCAGCCCAGAGCCUGAAUCAGUGUGUGUGUUAGUGGAAGCGUCUGGAAAGGCGCGCGAUACAGGGUGACAGCCCCGUACACAAAAAUGCACAU